This is a long non-coding RNA of Orcinus orca (killer whale), 459 nucleotides long. RefSeq lists it as uncharacterized. The transcript has 3 exons. Lineage: Eukaryota; Metazoa; Chordata; Mammalia; Artiodactyla; Delphinidae. The record is from RefSeq and is a predicted model, not a curated record.
UGGGAACGUUUCCUGGGGCUGCGUGGCUGUGAAACACCCACUGGCAGGUGUGUAAAAGGAAGCUUCUGCCCACAGCCCAGGAGCAGCUCAGUCCAGAUUCUUCGGCUUCCCUCAUCUGCACACAAGAGCAGUCUGUCCACACCCUUCCUGGGCACCCUGCUCCCCUCUGCAGCCGCCUCUGCAUCUUCCCGCCAUCCCAGGCUGACAUGGACAAGUCCCUGCUCCUGCUGCUGGGAGUCUUGCCUUUCGUGCUCUUCCAAGGAGUGGCUCCAGCCACGUUGUGUAAGGUCUGCAGUAUUUUUAAGAAGGACAAAUGUUUGCAAGGCGAGGGUAACUGCACCUCUGAAGAAGGCCCGGGAUGCAGAACUUCGGAUAUAUACUUUUUCAAUGUGAGAGAUGCGUGGCGCUACAACCACACUCAACUGGACUGUUAUGAUAAGUGUAGAGCUUGGAAGUUGA